CUGUGUCUGUAAUACAAUUAAAGUUAAUAUAGCAGUGGUUCAGACAAGUGCUUUAAUUUCGGAGCACUUGACUACUUUUGUAAGUGCUACUGUUUGUCUUCUUUUUCCAUUUCAGAAACAAACAAAUGACAGAUGUAUUCAGCUACAAACUUUUCUGCCUUACUCCCUAAUCGGGAAUUGAUUUCUGCUUUCUUCUUAUAUGCAUUUCAAAUUUCAAAUUCACGUAGUUCCCUGUACUUAUUCCUACAAUACAACCCUUAAAUCAAAAUGUGAAGCUUCCAGGAGAAGCCAAACUUUGAAUUUCAAAUCAUAUGACACAGACCCAGUUCCUCUGCUUUUGCUACAGAGGUUUUUCAAAAGCUCAGAAAUCUCAUCUCUACGAAGAAAACCCCCGUCUUAUAAUACCAUUGACUGAGAAUGUAUAUCACAUAUACUCUUUCCCCAUAAAAACCCAAAUUCUCUCUGUGAUGUGUGUUCCUUAAACAAAAAGCUCCGUAUACAAUACUUCAAAUGUAUAUUUGAUUUGUGGUAGGGAUGCCGCCGGGAAGGGGGAGUGUUGUCUCUAAUGUGGAUGGCGUUUGGGCAGAAAGAUGGGAAUGCUGAUGAUUGUGUAGCUAAAGAGAAAGAUGGUUUAGGCAUGCUACACUUUAGUACUGUGACAAUAACUCUGCAGAAACAAUUGCUAAUGUUCUUACAUCAAUUUCUUUUGCGGUUCUCGGAUACAAAACCCCUAGUAUUACACUGAUCCUAUCAGUAGAUACUUAUUUCUCUCCUUGAAGGACAAGCAAUCGAUAUUUCACGAUCAAGGGUUGUAAGCGCUAUCUCAAAACUGGAGUAUUAGGAAAGUCUUCAUACAAGCCCAAGGAUAAAGAUCAUGUUGAUAUGGAGGUGGAAAGUGAUAAUAUAUCUUCGCUUGCCAUAGAUCAAGGAAAGGAGGUACAAGACGGAGGAAAUGAUAAACUGGGUACUGAGAAUAAAGAAGAGAUACUUACUCCUACCAUCACAGAAGAUCACAUAUGCCUCCAGUAUCCAAAUUCUGAUCAGAGUAAGCUUAUAUAUGUAGUCUCAUAAUAUGCUACUACUGCACUUCUGCUCCAGUUUCGCUGUAUCUUGAAUAGUUGUCAUCUUCUGUUUAUGUUUUACUGUUUUAGUUCUCUUCUUAACAUGCUUCUUUUUGUCUUUUGUUUUUGUCUCCAGUUUUAGUGUCCAUUUUCAUGUAAAGCCUCUGAGAGUCUAAAACAUUAGUCAGAUACAUUAAUUUGCCUUCUCCUUUAAUAUCAUAAUUAAUAAUAAGAUAGAUGAGGUAUUUAAGUUGUAAUGAGGUAUUUGAAAGAGCUGCAAGCUGCGGACUACUGUCAAAUAUGAUACUGUAUUUUAUAAUGGAUUACGGGAUGAGCUUGACAAAAGGCCUUGGGCUUAUAAUUGCUUCAAGUGUCUGUCAUUGUGUAAGUACUGUGUAAUUAUUGCUUAUAUGUUGUUUGUGUUUUCAAAUUUUUAUUUAAUUAUUAUUAUGUUCUUACUAAACCAAUACUAUGCUUAAGAUAUGCAUUUGCAUGAAGAAGUAGAUUAAAUACAAGUUACAGGAGGGAGGGGAAGAUGGCAACGUCACUGUGUUUGUCUGGAUAAUCUCAGUUAAUCUAUCCAUCGGAUUAUUGAGUUUAUAAAAUCCCGUUUAUAAUUAAGUUUUCAUGUUCUUGCAGGUUAAUUACAAUCAUCUAAAACUUGAUAAUUUUGCUUCUUUCAUAUCUGAUUUUGGUAUGUCUGCGCACCUUAUUGCUUCAUCUUCAGUUUAUUGGUUUAAGUUUAAGAUUGAGUAUGUAGUCUUUUGAUCCUGGUGGUGUUUCGGUUGAUGAUUUAGGACAUCAUGCGGGGUACUUUCAGAUUCAGCAUUCUCACACUGCUUAGGAAAGGAGCUGUUUUACAGAGUAAUGAGGAUGGUUUUUGACUACAUUUAUGUGUCAAGCCCGAAUUCUAUAUCCUCGAUCUAUAUUGUAGAAGUUUGAGAAGGACUACUUUAUUUGCACUGGUCCAGCUUCAAUGUUAGUACCAGUUGUUGUAAAUCCCGGUGAAGAGUGGAGGGGCACAGGUCAUGGAACAUGAUAAUUUGUGAUCAUAAAUUUAUAUAUAUGAUUACUGAAUCAAGUAAUCUAUUUUUCUCUCCCAAUAGAUGUAAUCCCAAAAAUUAUUAAUACAAUGUUAGUAUUACUUGGAUCGAAAGAAAGAGUUGCAAGUUUCCUACAUUUAUAUUGAACAAGUUUGAUGAUAAAAUGGUGAAUAGUUGAAUGAUAAGGAUUAAUUUAGGAUCA
Long non-coding RNA from Daucus carota subsp. sativus, 2306 nucleotides. RefSeq lists it as uncharacterized. NCBI's taxonomy places the organism in Eukaryota, Viridiplantae, Streptophyta, Magnoliopsida, Apiales, Apiaceae. The transcript is spliced from 6 exons. The record is from RefSeq and is a predicted model, not a curated record.